GGCCGGGAACUCAAAGGAGACUGCCAGUGAUAAACUGGAGGAAGGUGGGGAUGACGUCAAGUCAUCAUGGCCCUUACGACCAGGGCUACACACGUGCUACAAUGGCGCAUACAAAGAGAAGCGACCUCGCGAGAGCAAGCGGACCUCAUAAAGUGCGUCGUAGUCCGGAUUGGAGUCUGCAACUCGACUCCAUGAAGUCGGAAUCGCUAGUAAUCGUAGAUCAGAAUGCUACGGUGAAUACGUUCCCGGGCCUUGUACACACCGCCCGUCACACCAUGGGAGU
RNAcentral lists this ribosomal RNA (283 nucleotides) under Klebsiella quasipneumoniae subsp. similipneumoniae. RNAcentral's name for it is "partial 16S ribosomal RNA". It matches the Rfam family "Bacterial small subunit ribosomal RNA", at positions 1129 to 1411 of the family's 1533-position model. The record is from RNAcentral. RNAcentral also lists the same sequence under 1 other name. Lineage: Bacteria; Pseudomonadati; Pseudomonadota; Gammaproteobacteria; Enterobacterales; Enterobacteriaceae.